UAAUUUUUUUUAGAGUUCUUAUCGAAAAAAGAGAUUGCGACCUCGAUGUUGGAUUAAAAAUAAAUUUUUGGUGUAGAAGCUAAUAAAUUAGGUCUGUUCGACCUUUAAAUUUUUACAUGAUCUGAGUUUAAACCGGUGUAAGCCAGGUUGGUUUCUAUCUCAAUGAAGGAAUAAUAUCUUAGUACGAAAGGACCAGGUAUUAAAUUUGUGGAAUUUAUAGAAGAAUAGUAUAAAUUUA
Molecule: ribosomal RNA, 238 nt
Filed under: Kyklioacalles aubei
Lineage: Eukaryota; Metazoa; Arthropoda; Insecta; Coleoptera; Curculionidae
Description: partial large subunit ribosomal RNA
Rfam family: Bacterial large subunit ribosomal RNA (bases 1-159)
Source: RNAcentral